Molecule: long non-coding RNA, 1805 nt
Organism: Folsomia candida
Lineage: Eukaryota; Metazoa; Arthropoda; Collembola; Entomobryomorpha; Isotomidae
Exons: 5
Source: RefSeq, a predicted model, not a curated record
UCAUUGCCUGUAAAAUGAUACUCCACAUGGUGGGGGCCAUGAGGACUUCAGAUUUUAGGAGUCCCCCUCCCUACAGGUGUCCUUAUUUUUAAACGUUUUCAAAUUUUAGCCGCAGAUGUGAUGAGUUUGUACGGUGUAGGAAGUUUGACAUUUAGGAUCGGAGCCUCAAAUUUCUCUUCAAAUUUCUCUCCCAUGUAAUCAAGUAAAUCUGUUCAUCUUGGUGCGUUUCAUACAAAUUGAAGAUUUUAUUGCAUUUAAAAAUCAAUAAUUUUUGUUUACUUGAACAAAGUUAGGAGGUUGAAAUUUUGAUUUUUUUUCUAUGAGAAAAUAUAUGGAAUACAUGGAAGAAGAGAAAGUUGAGACAUAGAAUUUCAAAUUCAAAAUCCGCAUACAGUGGAACGUUAAAGGACAUUUCAUUAGUAAAAGUGACGAGUUUUCAGUAGCCGUGCACACGGAGGCCGGCUGAAAUUCAACUGGAACGUAAAGUGAAACUGUAUUUAUAACGAUCGAUACAUGGUUUUCCAUUAACUGACCUAUAUUUAUCAAUAUUUGCAUACAUUCAGUUCAGAAUAGAGAGAAACCGCACGGAGAGGAAAUGAAGAUUUUCUGGGGCCUCACAAUAUUAGAGACGAGGUGGCCGAGUGGUUAAGGCGUUGGACUGCUAAUCCAAUGUGCUCUGCACGCGUGGGUUCGAAUCCCAUCCUCGUCGAAUUAAUUUUUGCCAGUGCACAUUAAAGCUAAAUUAAUUAUAACUUGCUGAUUUUCUGACCAAUGUAUCCAGUCCUAACAUUUGAGCAUAAACAUAAACUUUACUAACGGCGCGACUCCACUAAUUCCAUCAAUUACAUUACUCGGUUAAAUGUGAAAAUAAAUGUGAAACACAAUGUGUACUUAUUAUGUCAUACAUAUUAUUAUAAUAUGUAUAAACGACAUAAUAUUAUUAUGUCGUUUUUACUUUGCCCAUUUGCCAAAUUGUAUUUUGCACGAUGAGGCAACAUGAAAAUUCCCACGCUCAAAACUCCAAUUUCCAACAUCAACCGGAACAUUUGUCAAAUCCAUGUGCUUUUGUAAAUUAGUUGCAUUUACAUGUUUUGAAACAAUAAAUUAUCUUUGAACACCAAUUUCUGUGGAUGACUACCUUCAUUCGGUGUAUAGCACGUCGGACGUGCCUCUUCAGGUCUCAGGACAUGGGGGAAAUAUUUACUGUCGAAUGAUAUUGUUUCUGAGAUGACAUGUCUUCGCUAAAACGAGCAUGAAGAUGCAACAUUUCUUGAUUCAGGACACCAAGUCGUCCCUGGCCGGAAAUGUAACGGGCCUUUACCUUAACUUGAAUGUCUUUUCAUCCAUCGUUGACUUUGAUGAGAAAAUCGGCCCUUCGUCACUUCAAAAGGAAGUCUUGGAUUUUAUCAACAAUUUAGAAGUCAUUGUGGCAAUAGCUCGGAUUUAACAAAGAUUGAUGGAAAACUGAAGGGACCUUGUACCAUUGACAAUCUGCCACCACGGGAGCCCUGUUUGCUUUGCAAGCGAAAUGUCGAAAAGACCUGGACCCUUGUGUGUGAGAAGGAGUGAUGCUUUGGGUGCAACAAUCUUUUGUGGGACAUGAACAAUCCACAGUUGCUGUUAAAUUAUGUUAAAUUUUGCCAGUAUAUCGGAUAAUUUCUAAUAAAUUCACUUCGUCCUUAUCAAUUUAAAUCAUUCCAAAUAUCUUAAGAUGCAUGGACUUCAGCCAUAUUCGAAACCCUAGGGGGAUGUGAAAGGUAAAGUGACCGGUGUAUCUCCACAAUUCAACAUUAAUAUGCUAUAAA